UACGUAGGGGGCAAGCGUUUGUCCGGAUUUAUUGGGCGUAAAGAGCGUGUAGGCGGCCAAUACAGGUCAGCUGUGAAAACUCGAGGCUCAACCUCGAGACGUCGGUUGAAACCGUAUGGCUAGAGUCCGGAAGAGGAGAGUGGAAUUCCCGGUGAUGAGCGGUGAAAUGACGCAGAUAGUCGGGGAAGAACACCAAUGGCGAAGGCAGCUCGCUGGGACGUGGACUGAACGCUGAGACGCGAAAGCGUGGGGAGCAAACUACGG
This 264-nucleotide ribosomal RNA is filed under the name uncultured bacterium. Its description in RNAcentral is "partial 16S ribosomal RNA". It matches the Rfam family "Bacterial small subunit ribosomal RNA", at positions 524 to 778 of the family's 1533-position model. The record is from RNAcentral.